GUGAGGACGACGUUUGUCACUUACCUGUCCUGAGUCUGGGCGCCAAGGAGGCGUGUAAUAGGUCUCCACCCCAGCUGAAUAGUAAAGUGCUGACAACUGAGACACCAGUCAUCCGAGGGGGCAGAUCCCGGGGCUGCAGCCUUCAGGCUUAGGAGACGAGAGCUCUGGCAGGGAGUGGGGAGGGCCAUUCAGGUAGGUGGGACAGCCCAGGUGAAGGUGUUGCUUGGAGACAGGCACAGGAGCUGUGGGAGAUGAGGCUGGAUUGGAGGGGCCCGCCCAGGUAGGGAGGCUUUGAGGGCCUCUCAGUGGCCAAGGACAGUGGCCGCCCAUCCUGCCCCCUGAUGUCUGGAAGCCUGGGGCUCCCGGGGCUGACUGGGCCCUCUGUGUUGGCCCAUGGCCCAUGGCCCAUGGCAGGAGCGCAUCUUCAUGGAGAAUGUGGGGGCCGUGAAGGAGCUCUGCAAGCUGACAGACAACCUGGAGACGCGCAUUGAUGAGCUGGAGCGCUGGAGCCACAAGCUGGCCAAGCUGCGGCGGCUCGACAGCCUCAAGUCCACCGGCAGCUCGGGCGCCUUCAGGUAGGGGUGCGGGGUGAGGGAAGGUGAGACCCUUCUUCCCAGGGACACCCCUGAUCCUGGCCCUCUUGCUGCAGCCAUGCAGGGAGCCAGUUCAGCCGGGCAGGCAGUGUCCCUCACAAGAAGAGGCCCCCCAAGGUGGCCAGCAAGUCAUCGUCCGUGGUUCCGGACCAGGCCUGCAUCAGCCAGCGCUUCCUGCAGGGAACCAUCAUCGCCCUGGUGGUGGUCAUGGCCUUCAGCGUGGUGUCCAUGUCCACACUGUACGUGCUGAGCCUGCGCACAGAGGAGGACCUGGUAGACACUGAUGGGUCCAGCCAGAGCUUUGGGACCACGCAGCUCCGACAGUCCCCCGUGACCACUGGGCUACCAGGCAUACAGCCCUCUUUGCUGCUGGUGACCACCAGCCUCACCAGCUCAGCCCCAGGUUCUGCUGUCCGCACCUUGGACAUGUGUUCCAGCCACCCCUGCCCUGUCAUCUGCUGUUCCUCACCCACCACCAACCCUACCACUGGUCCUAGUCUUGGCCCCAGCUUUAACCCUGGCCAUGUUCUCAGCCCAAGUCCCAGCCCCAGCACCAACCGCUCAGGCCCCAGCCAGAUGGCCCUUCUGCCAGUCACCAACAUCAGAGCCAAGUCCUGGGGUCUUUCAGUCAAUGGCAUUGGCCACUCCAAGCAUCACAAGAGUCUGGAGCCUCUGGCCAGCCCUGCAGUCCCCUUCCCUGGGGGGCAGGGCAAAGCCAAGAACAGUCCCAGCCUUGGUUUCCAUGGCCGGGCCCGCCGAGGGGCCCUCCAGUCCAGCGUGGGCCCUGCUCAGCCCACCUGGGCCCAGGGCCAGUCAGGUACUUGCCGUACCCCUGACACUACCCAGCCCAGCCUGGCAAGGCUCACUGGCCAGGGCCCACCUCAGCCCAGUCAUGUGACUGUCUGGGUUCAGACUUGUCAGUCAAUAGACAUUUGCUGAGCACAGAAUAAGGAUCAGGAAUCACGCCUGCAGCCUUACAUAGAUCAUCCCAUUUAGUCCUCACAGCACUCCUGCGAGAAACGAAUUGUUGUUCCUAUUGUUCAGCUGAAGAAAUGGGAUGGAGACUAAGGUGAAGUGACCUGCCCAGGGUUAUACAGCCCUUCCGAGGCAGGGCUUGUAUUUGAUCCCGAGCCUGGCUCCUCCUUCACCAUGCCAGCACCAGGAGGGUGCUACACCAGGUCUCCCCUACUGUUUCCCAAACCUUGGAUCUUUGGUUUUAAGAAAGCUACAGAACCUUUUAUUGCAGUUUUCAAACUAGGUUCCUCUGAGGUACCCUGGGGGCUGCACUGGGGGCUGCCCUGGGGG
Molecule: small RNA, 1898 nt
Filed under: Pongo abelii (Sumatran orangutan)
Lineage: Eukaryota; Metazoa; Chordata; Mammalia; Primates; Hominidae
Description: retained intron
Source: RNAcentral